This 1006-nucleotide long non-coding RNA is filed under the name Naja naja (Indian cobra). RNAcentral describes it as "lncRNA (ENSNNAG00000004200.1)". Lineage: Eukaryota; Metazoa; Chordata; Lepidosauria; Squamata; Elapidae. The record is from RNAcentral.
GACACUAUCAUCUACAUAGUCCAGUCCAAGUUAUGCAUUAAGAGGUACAAAUCCUCAGUGGGGACCAUUUUCUGCACACGAGAAGAGCUGAGAAGACUAUCCUGGCUAUAGGGCUGAGGGAACUUUGAAGAUGAAGCUAUCCUUCAACAUAUUCUUCUUUGGAUGGUGGUUGGCCAGGCAAUGUUGGAUUUCUAGAGGUCAAACUCUUUCAACACCUUUGAUAUCUACCGACUCCAACGGGAUGGUUGCUUUGGGAGAAGAGGUCACCAUUGUCUGCAGAAGCCAGGAUGAUUUUCAUGGAACAUUCUAUCUCACCGGAUUUAAAAGCUUAAGUGAUGAUGGGGAAACUGUAACAACUAAGGAGGCAGCAUUCAGUCAGGCUGAAUUUUUCUUCAAAUUCCUUAGAAAAUCACAGGGGGGCAUCUACAGCUGCAGAUCUUGCCUGGAUGGAUGGGGAUGCUCAUCCUAUAGUGAUAAAAUCUAUCUCAACCUAACAGAUCCCAGCCUGACCAAGCCUUUCAUCCAGAUUUUAAAUACAAAAGAUUAUCCAUACUUCCCCAUACAGUGUGAGGGGACAAAACCUCACCUAACAUUUGCUGUUAUGAACUCAAGGCAGCUGAUACAUUACAUGGCUGCAGAGCCAGGGGAAAAGAGAGUGGUUUUUCAUCUCAGCUCCUUGAGGUUGAAAGAGGCAGAACGUUAUACCUGCCGGUACCACGAGGAAAGCAGCCCCUUUGUCUGGUCAGUGCCAAGUGACCCACUGGAGUUGCCUUUGAGAGAUCCUGAGAUGAUGAAUCCCACCAUGAAGACGAUACCUGGAGGGCCCAAUGCUUCAGGUUUUCUUAACUCACACUUAUGGGCCGGCAUCGGGGUGAGCGUUUUACUGCUUGUUGUGUUGCUGCUGGCUGUGGUACUGUACAGAAAAAGGAGAAAAAGUAAGUGGAGUUGAUCUUGUAAUAAACAUGGCUACAGAGAAGUGGGUGAACAAUAACCAACCAUGGUCUAU